GUCGCAGCUCCUCCUGCGUCGCCCUGAGUAAAGACAAAGAGUAAAGACCAAGGCUGGGGCAACCGAUGGGACCAGGAAGAGAGGGGGGUCAAAUGAAGGCUGGGCAUUUCAUAAUGAGAAACUGGAUAUGAAGAUGGAGAAACCAAAGACCAAGACAGGCUAAAGUAGAGGACUGGGGCCGGGCGGUCACCUUGUCUGGGAGGACGCCUUUGAAUUGGUUGAGUGUGACAACAUUUGAUCUGGUAGCUGACACGCCUGUCAACCUCGGCCGCACCCCAUCUCCAGAAACUACGUUUCCCAGCAUUA
This 306-nucleotide long non-coding RNA is filed under the name Mus caroli (Ryukyu mouse). RNAcentral's name for it is "lncRNA (MGP_CAROLIEiJ_G0003977.1)". Lineage: Eukaryota; Metazoa; Chordata; Mammalia; Rodentia; Muridae. The record is from RNAcentral.